GCAUCUUGGCCCCGGCCGGCGCGUUUUUCCUCCCCCGCCUUGUCGCUCUCUGGGACUGGAAGGGUUAACGCUCUGCUCUCAGCCCGGGAGCCCCUUGAUCUUGAUUAAUUCAGCCUUCGCGCUUAGGCCCGCCAGACGGGCGGGGGCUCUCGCUCGCUCACAGAGAGAAAAACAGUAAAAGCAAAGGAACAAUAUGCAGACAAGAUUCAGCCGAGGAUCAGAUAAAAGCAAAGAUUUCUCCCUGAAGCAAGAGCAAAUGGGAUUCUUGGCUUGUCUCUCAUCGUGAUCCUGAUUGAAGACCACUGGACACAUCUGUCAAGACUCUAACCGCAAUCCAUUGGAAAUCACUGGAGAGCCAAAGAACUCUCUUUCAUUGUCCUGGCUGGAAGCACUGGAUUCCUCCUUUCAAAUGAACUAAAAUAUUUUCCAAGAUGUCAAGUCAAUCUGGGCAAACUUUCUCAACAUAACCAUCCCUACAUUCCAAUAUCCCUCUUUUUCAUUUUUCCUUUAAAAAUAAACGUGCAUUUUUUUCUCAAAA
Molecule: long non-coding RNA, 538 nt
Filed under: Homo sapiens (human)
Lineage: Eukaryota; Metazoa; Chordata; Mammalia; Primates; Hominidae
Description: IL12A antisense RNA 1
Source: RNAcentral